RNAcentral lists this transfer RNA (59 nucleotides) under Loxodonta africana (African savanna elephant). It matches the Rfam family "tRNA". From Rfam's summary of the family: Transfer RNA (tRNA) molecules are approximately 80 nucleotides in length. Their secondary structure includes four short double-helical elements and three loops (D, anti-codon, and T loops). Lineage: Eukaryota; Metazoa; Chordata; Mammalia; Proboscidea; Elephantidae. The record is from Rfam by way of RNAcentral.
AGUGGUUAAGCACUUGACUGUGAAACAAAAGGUUGGUGGUUCAAACCCACCAGCCACUC